This 301-nucleotide ribosomal RNA is filed under the name uncultured bacterium. RNAcentral's name for it is "partial 16S ribosomal RNA". It matches the Rfam family "Bacterial small subunit ribosomal RNA", at positions 509 to 809 of the family's 1533-position model. The record is from RNAcentral.
CAGUAGCCACGGUAAUGCAGAGGAUGCAAGCGUUAUCCGGAAUGAUUGGGCGUAAAGCGUCUGUAGGUGGCUUUUCAAGUCCGCCGUCAAAUCCCGGGGCUCAACCCCGGAACUGCCUUUGAUACUGGGAGUCUUGAGUUCGAGAGAGGUGAGUGGAAUUGCGAGUGUAGAGGUGAAAUUCGUAGAUAUUCGCAGGAACACCAGUGGCGAAGGCGGCUCACUGGCUCGAUACUGACGCUGAGGUGCGAAAGCGAGGGGAGCAAACAGGAUUAGAUACCCCCGUAGUCCCUGUCUCUUAUAA